AUGAUAGCGACUAGUCUAAAAAACCUAAGAUGUAAGAAUAGGGACAACAUAUUUAUUUGAAUUUUGUUUUCAACAGGUUGCCUCUCGUGGCUCGAUCAACAACCACGUAAUUCUCUCAUAUAUGUUGCAUUUGGAAGUUCCACAAUAUUUGAUCAGAAUCAAUUCAAAGAACUUGCUCUCGACCUUGAACUCACCAAAAGACCAUUCCUGUGGAUCGUGCGGGAAAACACAACUGAAGAUGUUGACAAUGCAUACCCAACAGGGUUCCUCGAAAGAGUGCAGAAUUGGGAGAGAAUGGUGGCUUCGGCACCAUAGCAAAACGUCCUAUCCCAUCCUUCUAUUGCCUGUUUCAUUAGCCAUUGUGGUUGGAAUUCCGCCAUCAAAGGCAUAAGCAAUGGAGUCCCUUUUAUGUGUUUGCCAUAUUUUGUGGAUCAAAUGUUCAAUCAGAGCUACAUUUGUAAUUGUUUGACAACAGGAUUGAAAUUGAAUAAAGAUGACAGUGGAAUAAUUAGGCAUGAAGAGAUUAACAACAAACUAGAACAACUUUUGGGUGAUGAAAGAUUUAAAGAAUUGGCGUUGGAUCUUCAAUCAAAUGUCCUAAAUAGCAUUGAAGAAGGAGAGAGCUCUUAUAAUAAUUUCAAGGAUUUAGUAGCUUGGAUUAAGG
RNAcentral lists this long non-coding RNA (664 nucleotides) under Olea europaea subsp. europaea. The record is from RNAcentral. Lineage: Eukaryota; Viridiplantae; Streptophyta; Magnoliopsida; Lamiales; Oleaceae.